RNAcentral lists this ribosomal RNA (253 nucleotides) under uncultured bacterium. Its description in RNAcentral is "partial 16S ribosomal RNA". It matches the Rfam family "Bacterial small subunit ribosomal RNA", at positions 524 to 776 of the family's 1533-position model. The record is from RNAcentral.
UACAGAGGUCCCAAGCGUUGUUCGGAUUCACUGGGCGUAAAGGGUGCGUAGGUGGCCAGGUAAGUUUGAUGUGAAAGCUCGGAGCUUAACUCCGAAAUGGCAUUGAAUACUAUCUGGCUUGAGGGUCGGAGGGGAGACUGGAAUUCUCGGUGUAGCAGUGAAAUGCGUAGAUAUCGAGAGGAACACCAGUGGCGAAGGCGAGUCUCUGGACGACACCUGACACUGAGGCACGAAAGCUAGGGGAGCGAACAGG